GACGAACGCUGGCGGCGUGCUUAACACAUGCGAGUCGAACGGAAAGGCCCUGCUUUUGUGGGGUGCUCGAGUGGCGAACGGGUGAGUAACACGUGAGUAACCUGCCCUUGACUUUGGGAUAACUUCAGGAAACUGGGGCUAAUACCGGAUAGGAGCUCCUGCUGCAUGGUGGGGGUUGGAAAGUUUCGGCGGUUGGGGAUGGACGCGCGGCUUAUCAGCUUGUUGGUGGGGUAGUGGCUUACCAAGGCUGUGACGGGUAGCCGGCAUGAGAGGGUGACCGGCCACAUUGCGACUGAGAUACGGCCCAGACUCCUACGGGAGGCAGUAGUGGGGAAUCUUGUCCAAUGGGCGGAAGCCUGAUGCAGCAGCGCCCCGUGCGGGAUGACGGCCUUCGGGUUGUAAACCGCUUUCGCCUGUGACGAAGCGUGAGUGACGGUAAUGGGUAAAGAAGCACCGGCUAACUACGUG
RNAcentral lists this ribosomal RNA (468 nucleotides) under uncultured bacterium. RNAcentral describes it as "partial 16S ribosomal RNA". It matches the Rfam family "Bacterial small subunit ribosomal RNA", at positions 28 to 507 of the family's 1533-position model. The record is from RNAcentral.